This 468-nucleotide ribosomal RNA is filed under the name uncultured bacterium. Its description in RNAcentral is "partial 16S ribosomal RNA". It matches the Rfam family "Bacterial small subunit ribosomal RNA", at positions 28 to 507 of the family's 1533-position model. The record is from RNAcentral.
GACGAACGCUGGCGGCGGGCGGAACACAGGCAAGGCGAACGGAAAGGAGCGGCGGGGGGGGGGGGCGAGAGGGGCGAACGGGGGAGGAACAAGGGAGGAAACGGAACGGGACGGCGGGAGAACGACAGGAAACUGGGGCGAAGACCGGAUAGGAGCUCCUGCUGCAUGGUGGGGGUUGGAAAGUUUCGGCGGUUGGGGAUGGACUCGCGGCUUAGCAGCUUGUUGGUGGGGUAGUGGCUUACCAAGGCUUGGACGGGUAGCCGGCCUGAGAGGGUGCCCGGCCCCCUUGGGACUGGGCUCCGGACCAGACUCCUACGGGAGGCAGCAGUGGGGAAUAUUGCACAAUGGGCGGAAGCCUGAUGCAGCGACGCCGCGUGCGGGAUGCCGGCCUUCCGGUUGUCAACCGCUUUCGCCUGUGACGAAGCGUGAGUGACGGUAAUGGGUAAAGAAGCACCGGCUAACUACGUG